RNAcentral lists this long non-coding RNA (1682 nucleotides) under Setaria viridis. RNAcentral's name for it is "long non-coding RNA (SVIR_LNC005346)". The record is from RNAcentral. Lineage: Eukaryota; Viridiplantae; Streptophyta; Magnoliopsida; Poales; Poaceae.
CAGGUAAAGACCAGCGCGUAAUCCUGGCUGCCACACCAAAUUAUACCAAUCACUAAGCCGCCGGGCGGCGACAUGGCUUUGCUGCAGCAAUUGCCAAAGCCUUCUUAUCUUCUUCUGCAUCUUCUUCUUCUUCUAAGGAAGCAGCCAGUCACUCACUGAUCAGACACACAUCCACGAGCAGGAGCAGCAGCAGCAGCAGUGCUUGCGGGUAACAUCAGCAGCAAGAGGUAGAUGAUAAGCACGGAGACGGACACUCUUCUUCUCUAAGCGGACGCCUUGUCGAACUUGAGGGGCUUCACCACCUCCCAGGUGAAGUCGGUGUCGUCGCGCCCGAAGUGACCGUAGGCCGCGGUCUUGAUGAACCUGUUGCCGCCCUUCUUGAGGUCGAGGUUGAUGGUGAUCAUCCCGGGCCUGAAGUCGAAGUUCUCCUUCACGAUCUUGAGGAUCUCCUUGUCGGGGAUCUUGCCGGUGCCGUACGAGUCGACGAACACCGACAGGGGCUCGGGAACGCCGAUGGCGUAGGACACCUGCACGAGGCAGCGGCGGGCGAGGCCGCUGGCCACGAUGCUCUUGGCCGCCUGCCUGGCGAUGUAGGCGCCGCUGCGGUCAACCUUGGUGGGGUCCUUUCCGGAGAAGGCACCACCGCCGUGGGCUCCCCAGCCGCCGUAGGUGUCGAUGAUGAUCUUGCGGCCGGUGAGGCCGGCGUCGCCGUGCGGCCCGCCGAUGACGAAGCGGCCCGAAGGGUUGAGGUGGAAGAUGGUCUUCUCGUCGAGGUACUUCUCCGGGAUGAUGGGCUUGAUGACGUGCUCCUUGAGGUCGGCGGCGAUCUCGUCGUUGGUGACGGUCUCGUCGUGCUGGGUGGAGAUGAGGACGGUGUGGACGCGGACGGGGACCAUGGCGCCGCCCUCGUUGACGUACUCGACGGUGACCUGGGUCUUGCCGUCGGGCCUGAGCCAGGCGCAGGUGCCGUUCUUGCGGACCUCGGUGAGGCGCGCGCCGAGCUUGGUAGCGAGGACGUGGCUGAGCGGCAUGAGCUCGGGGGUCUCGUCGGUGGCGUAGCCGAACAUGUGGCCUUGGUCGCCGGCGCCAAUCUCCUCGGGGCGCUUGGUGAAGUGGCCGUGCACGCCCUGCGCGAUGUCGGGGGACUGCUGCUCGAUGUUGACGAGCACCUUGCAGCGGUCGGCGUCGAGGCCGACGUCGUCGGAGGUGAAGCCGAUCUCGCGGCAGGUGUCGCGUACAAUCUUCUCGUAGUCGACGGUGGCCUUGGUGGUGAUCUCGCCGAACACCAUCACCAUGUUGGUCUUGGUGCAGGUCUCGCAGGCCACCUUGCUGUCGGGGUCCUGCGCCAGGCACGCGUCCAGGACGGCGUCCGACACCUGGUCGCACAGCUUGUCGGGGUGCCCCUCGUUCACGGACUCCGAGGUGAACAGGAAGCUCUCCGCCGCCAUUGCUGCUGCUGCCUUCUCGGGUAGAUUACUCCACCAACCUCUGCGCAUGGGAGCAAUCAAGGAAUCAUCAGAAUCCACUGCGCAUAGUUCGAAUUGAAUGACCAACAAAUGGUAAAAUUCGAUGCCUUCAGAUCCAAAAUUGGCGCAGCACAGACAGCAUAACAUGCACAGGCUGCGCUGCGAGAUCUAAAAAUUCAGAAAAUUCCCAAAUUUUCCCCAUUGCUGACUACGAAA